GCCUUAGUGGUGUAAUGGUCAGCACACUCGGCGCGUAACCGAGAGGUCCGUGGUUCGAGUCCCGGCGAGGGCA
Molecule: transfer RNA, 73 nt
Filed under: Stegodyphus mimosarum
Lineage: Eukaryota; Metazoa; Arthropoda; Arachnida; Araneae; Eresidae
Rfam family: tRNA
About the family: Transfer RNA (tRNA) molecules are approximately 80 nucleotides in length. Their secondary structure includes four short double-helical elements and three loops (D, anti-codon, and T loops).
Source: Rfam by way of RNAcentral